UAAAUAGCCCGGCCCGCCUUGGCGGGUCGCCGGCUUCUUAGAGGGACUAUCGGCUCAAGCCGAUGGAAGUUUGAGGCAAUAACAGGUCUGUGAUGCCCUUCGAUGUUCUGGG
RNAcentral lists this ribosomal RNA (112 nucleotides) under Lepra amara. RNAcentral's name for it is "partial small subunit ribosomal RNA". It matches the Rfam family "Eukaryotic small subunit ribosomal RNA", at positions 1352 to 1486 of the family's 1831-position model. Lineage: Eukaryota; Fungi; Ascomycota; Lecanoromycetes; Pertusariales; Pertusariaceae. The record is from RNAcentral.